UAUGUCCUACGGGAGGCAGCAGUGGGGGAUAUUGCACAAUGGGGGAAACCCUGAUGCAGCGACGCCGCGUGAGUGAAGAAGUAUUUCGGUACGUAAAGCUCUAUCAGCAGGGAAGAAAAAUGACGGUACCUGACUAAGAAGCCCCGGCUAACUACGUGCUAGCAGCCGCGGUAAUACGUAGGGGGCAAGCGUUAUCCGGAAUUACUGGGGGUAAAGGGAGCGUAGACGGCAAUGCAAGUCCGGAGUGGAAUGCGGCAGCUCAACUGCCGAACUGCUCUGGAAACUGUAUGGCUUGAGCGC
This 300-nucleotide ribosomal RNA is filed under the name uncultured bacterium. Its description in RNAcentral is "bacterial SSU rRNA". It matches the Rfam family "Bacterial small subunit ribosomal RNA", at positions 333 to 649 of the family's 1533-position model. The record is from RNAcentral.